CUUUAACCUCUGAUCUUUGUCUAAGGUUAAGUUUAACAUCUGUUCAUAACAGUUAAAUAUCUUUCACAUCCUCAACUUGAAGAUGUCAUAUUAAGCAGACUUUUGGGGCCAAAACAUGGGUUAGAAAUUUUCCUGCCUAUCCUAUUCAUCUGUCAGUUAUUGCAGUGUCUCUAGAAGCAGCACACCAC
This 188-nucleotide small nuclear RNA is filed under the name Acanthisitta chloris (rifleman). RNAcentral describes it as "U2 spliceosomal RNA". It matches the Rfam family "U2 spliceosomal RNA". Rfam says of the family: U2 is a small nuclear RNA (snRNA) component of the spliceosome (involved in pre-mRNA splicing). The record is from Rfam by way of RNAcentral. Lineage: Eukaryota; Metazoa; Chordata; Aves; Passeriformes; Acanthisittidae.